RNAcentral lists this long non-coding RNA (11110 nucleotides) under Citrus x clementina. RNAcentral describes it as "Citrus clementina (C. clementina) long non-coding RNA (CCLE_LNC004890)". The record is from RNAcentral. Lineage: Eukaryota; Viridiplantae; Streptophyta; Magnoliopsida; Sapindales; Rutaceae.
AAAUAGGCCGCGGGCACAGCCGCGCCCAAAAAUAAGUGCCCGAAGGUCGGGGUGCCAAAACACUUCAGCAGAAAAAUGGCCAAAAAUCGGGUGGGCUAUAGCCUUCGUGGGGGGGGCGGGCGAAAUUCGUCCGCCGGGCUCGGAAUGGGGCGCGACUUUGCGAGGGGCCUCCGUGUGCCAAAAAUAGGCGACGGGCACAGCCGCGCCUAAAAAUAAGCGCCCGAAGGUCGGGGUGCCAAAAGCCUUCAGCAGAAAAAUGGCCAAAAAUCGGGUGGGCUAUAGCCUUCGUGGGGGGGGAUGACCAAGUUCGUCCGCCGGACGCAGAAUGGGGCGAGACUUUGCGAGCGACCUCCGUGUUCCAAAAACAGGCCGCGGGCCCAGCCGCGCCCAAAAAUAACCGCCCGAAGGCCGGGGCGUCAAGUUCGCCCAGCGGAAAAAGGCCACAAAAACGGGUGGGCUAUAGCCUUGGGGGUUGGGGCUGACCAAGUUCGUCCGCCGGAAGCGGAAUGGAGCAAGACUUUGCGAGCGGCCUCCAUGUGUCAAAAAUAGGCCGCGCGCACAGCCGCCCCCAAAAAUAACCGCCCGAAGGCUGGGGUACCAACUUCGUCCAGCGGAAAAAGGCCACAAAAACUGGUGGGCUAUAGCCUUGGGUGGUGGGGCUGGCCAAGUUCGUUUUCCGGACUCGGAAUUGGAGGAGAAUUUACGAGUGGCCUCCGUGUGCCAAAAAUAGGCCGCGGGCACAGCCGUGCCCAAAAAUAAGCGCCCGAAGGUCGGGGCGCCAAAUUCGUCCAGCGGAAAAAGGCCACAAAAACGGGUGGGCUAUAGCCUUGGGGGGUGGGGCUGGCCAAGUUCUUCCGCCGGACUCAGAACGGGACGAGACUUUGCGAGCGGCAUGCGUGUGCCAAAAAUAGGCCGCGGGCGCAACCGCGCCCAAAAAUAAACCCCCGAAGGCCAUGGCGCCAAGUUCGUCCAGCGGAAAAAGGCUACAAAAACGGGUGGGCUAUAGCCUUGGGGGGUGGGGCUGGCCACGUUCGUCCGCCAGACUCGGAAUGGGACGAGACAUUGCGAGCGGCAUCCGUGUCCCAAAAAUAGGCCGCGGCCACAGCCGCGUCCAAAAAUAACCGCCCGAAGGCCGGGGUGCCAAGUUCGUCCAGCGGAAAAAGGCCACAAAAACGGGUGGGCUAUAGCCCUGGGGGGGGGGGCUGGCCAAAUUCGUCCGCUGGACUCGGAAUGGGGCGAGACUUUGCGAGCGGCCUCCGUGUACCAAAAAUAGGCCACGGGCACAGCCGCGCCCAAAAAUAACUGCCUGAAGGCCGGGGCGCCAAGUUUGUCCAGCGUAAAAAGGGCACAAAAACGGGUGGGCUAUAGCCUUGGGGGGUGGGGCUGGCCAAGUUCGUCCGGCGGAGUCGGAAUUGGGCGAGACUUUGCGAGCGGCGUUUGUGUGCCCAAAAUACGACGUAGGAGCAGCCGCGCCCAAAAAUAACCUACCGCAGGCCGGGUUGCCAAGUUCGUCCAGCGGAAAAAGGCCACAAAAAAGGGUGGGCUAUAGCCUUGGGGGGUGGGGCUGGCCAAGUUCAUCCGCCGGACUCGGAAUGGGGCGAGACUUUGCGAGCGGCGUUUGUGUGCCCAAAAUACGACGCAGGCGCAGCCGCGCCCAAAAAUAACCGCCCGAAUGCCGGGGCGCCAAGUUCGUCCAGCGGAAAAAGUAAAAAACGGGUGGGCUAUAGCCUUGGGGGGUGGGGCUGGCCAAGUUCGUCCGCCAGACUCGGAAUGGGGCGAGACUUUGCGAGCGGCAUUUGUGUGCCCAAAAUGAGACGCAGGCGCAGCCGCGCCCAAAAAUAACCGCCCGAAGGCCGGGGCGCCAAGUUCGUCCAGCGGAAAAGGGCAAAAAUGGGUGGGCUAUAGCCUUGGGGGGUUGGGCUAGCCAAGUUCGUCCGCCGGGCUCGGAAUGGGGCGAGACUUUACGAGCGGCCUCUGUGUGCCAAAAAUAGGCCGCGGGCGCAGCCGCGCAAAUAAAUAACUGCCCGAAGGCCGGGGCGCCAAGUUCGUCCAGCGGAAAAAGUCCACAAAAACGGGUGGUCUAUAGCCUUGGGGGGAGGGCCUGGCCAAGUUCGUCCGCCGGAUGCGGAAUGGGGCGAGACUUUCCGAGUGGCCUCCAUGCGCCAAAAAUAGGCCGCGUGCACGGCCGCGCCCGUAAUUACCAGCCCGAAGAACGGGGCGCCAAGUUCGUUCAGCGGAAAAAGGCCACAAAAAUGGGUGGGCUAUAGCCUUGCGGGGUGGGGCUGGCCAAGUUCGUCCGCCGGACUCGGAAUGGGACGAGACGUUGCGAGCGGUCUCCGUGUGCCAAAAAUAGGCCGCGGGCACAGCCGCUCCCAAAAAUGACCGCCCGAAGCCCGGGGCGCCAAGUUCGUCCACCGGAAAAUGGCCACAAAAACGGGUGGGCUAUAGUCUUGCGGGGUGGGGCUGGCCAUGUUAGUCCGCCGGACUCGGAAUGGGGUGAGACAUAGCGAGCAGCCGCCGUGUCCCAAAAAUAGGCCGAGGGCACUGCCGCGCCCAUAAAUAACAGCCCGAAUGCCGGCGCGCCAAGUUCGUCCAGUCUUGCGGGGUGGGGCUGGCCAUGUUAGUCCGCCGGACUUGGAAUGGGACGAGACUUUGUGAGCGGCCUCCGUGUUCCAAAAAUAGGCUGCGGGCACAGCCGUGCCAAAAAUUAACCGCCCGAUGGCCGGGGCGCCAAGUUCGUCCAGCGGAAAAAGGCCACAAAAACGGGUGGGCUAUAGACUUGGGGGGUGGGGCUGACCAAGUUCGUCCUCCUGACUCGGAAUGGGACGAGUCUUUGCGAGCGGCCUUCGUGUUCCGAAAACAGGCCGCGGGCCCAGCCGCGGCCAAAAAUAACCGCCCGAAGGUCGGGGUGCCAAAUUCGUCCAGCGGAAAAAGGCCACAAAAACGGGUGGGCUAUAGCCUUGGGGGGUGGGGCUGACCAAGUUCGUCCGCCGGAAGCGGAAUGGGGCAAGACUUUGCGAGCGGCCUUUGUGUGCCAAAAAUAGGCCGUGGGCACAGCCGCGCCCAAAAAUAACCGCCCGAAGGCCGGGGCACCAAGUUCUUCCAGCGGAAAAAGGUCACAAAAACGGGUGGGCUAUAGCCUUGGGGUGUGGGGCCGGCCAAGUUCGUCCUCCGGACUCGGAAUGGGACGAGUCUUUGCGAGCGGCCUUCGUGUUCCAAAAAUAGGCCGUGGGCACAGCCGUGCCCAAAAAUAACCGCCCGAAGGCCGGGGCGCCAAGUUCGUACAGCGGAAAAAGGCCACAAAAACGGGUGGGCUAUAGCCUUGGGGGGUGGGACUGGCCAAAUUCGUCCGCCGGACUCGGAAUGGGGCGAGACUUUGCAAGCGGCCUCCGUCGGCCAAAAAUAUGCCGCGGACACAACCGCGCCCAAAAAUAACGGCCUGAAGGCCGGGCCGCCAAGUUCGUCCAGCGGAAAAAAGGCCACAAAAACGGGUGGGCUAUAGCCUUGGGGCGUGGGGCUGCCCAAGUUCGUCCGCCGGACUCGGAAUGGGACGAGACUUUGCGAACGGUCUCUGUGUACCAAAACUAGGCCACGGGCACAGCCGCGCCCAAAAAUAACUGCCCGAAGGCCGGGGCGCCUAUUUCAUCCAGCGAAACAGACCACAAAAACGGGUGGGCUAUAGCCUUGGGGGGUCCGGCUGGCCAAGUUCGUCCGCCGGACUCGGAAUGGGGCGAGACUUUGCGAGCGGUCUCUGUGUACCAAAACUAGGCCGCGGGGGCAGCCGCGCCCAAAAAUAACUGCCCGAAGGCCGGAGCGCCACGUUCGUCCAGCGGAAAAAGGUCACAAAAACGGGUGGGCUAUAGCCUUGGGGGGUGGGGCUGGCCAAGUUCGUCUGCCGGACUCCGAAUGGGGUGAGACUUUGUGAGCGGCCUCCGUGUACCAAAAAUAGGACGCGGUCACAGCCGCGCCCAAAAAUAACCUCCCGAACUCCGGGGCGCCAAGUUCGUUCAGCGGAAAAAGGCCACAAAAAAGGGUGGGCUAUAGCCUUGGGGGGUGGGGCUGGCCAAGUUCAUCCGCCGGACUCGGAAUGGGACGAGACUUUGCGAGCGGCCUCCAUGUGCCAAAAAUAAGCUGCGGGCACAGCCACACCCAAAACUAUCCUCCUGAAGGCCGGGGCGCCAAGUUCGUCCAGCGGAAAAAGGCCACAAAAACGGAUGGGCUAUAGCCUUGGGGUUGGGGCUGGCCAAGUUCGUCCGCCGGACUCGGAAUCGGACGAGAUUUACGAGCGGCCUCCGUGUGUCGAACAUAGGUCGUGGGCACUGCCGCGCCCAAAAAUAACCACCCGAAGGCCGGGGCGCCAAGUUCAUCCAGCGGAAAAACGCCACAAAAUCGGGUGGGCUAUAGCCUUGGGGGGUGGGGCUGGCCAAGCUCGUAAACCGGACUGGGAAUGGGAUGAGACUUUGGGAGCGGCCUCCGUGUGCCAAAACUAGGCCGCGGGCACAGCCGCGUCAAAAAAAUAACCGCCCGAAAGACGGGGUGCCGAGUUCGUCCAGCGGAAAAGGGCCACAAAAACGGGUGGGCUAUAUCCUUGGGGGGUGGUGCUGACAAGUUAGUCCGCCCGACUCGGAAUGGGGCGAGACUUUGCGAGCGGCCUCCGUGUGCCAUAAAUAGGCCGCGGGCACAGCCGCACCCAAAAAUAACCGCCCGAAGGCGAGGGGCCAAGUUCGUCCCUCGGAAAAGGGCCACAAAAACGGGUGGGCUAUAGCCUUCGGGGGUGGGACUGGCCAAGUUCGUCCGCCGGACUCGGAAUGGGACGAGACUUUACGAGCGGCCUCUGUGUGCUAAAAAUAGGCCGCUGCCGCCCGAAGGCCGGGGCGCCAAGUUCGUCCAGCGGAAAAAGGCCACAAAAACGGGUGGGCUAUAGCUUUCGGGGGUGGGGCUGGCCAAGUUCGUCCGCCGGACUCGGAAUCGGACAAGACUUUGUGAGCGGCCUCCGUGUGCCAAAAAUAGGCCGCGGGCACAGUUGCGGCUAAAAAUAACUGCCCGAAGGCCGGGGCGCCAAGUUCGUCCAGCGCAAAAAGGCCACAAAAACGGGUGGGCUAUAGCCUUCGGGGGUGGGGCUGGGCAAGUUCGUCCGCCGGCCUUGGAAUAGGACGAGACUUUGCGAGCGGCCUCCGCGUGCUAAAAAUAGGCCGCUACCACCCGAAGGCCGGGUUGCCAAGAUCGUCCUUUGGAAAAAGGCCACAAAAACGGGUGGGCUAUAGCCUUGGGGGGUGGUGCUGGCCAAGUUCGUCCGCCGGACUCGGAAUGGGGCGAGACUUUGCGAGCGGCCUCCGUGGGCUAAAAAUAGGCCACGGGGACAGCUACGCCCAAAAAUAACCGCCCAAAUGCGGGGGCGCCAAGUUCGUCCAGCGGAAAAAGGCCACAAAAACGGGUGGGCUACAGCCUUGUGGUGAGGAGCUGGCCAAGUUCGUCCGCCGGGCUCGGAAUGGCGCGAGACUUUGCGAGUGGCCUCCAUGUGCCAAAAAUAGGCCACGGGCACAGCUGCGUCCAAAAAUAACCGCCCGAACUCCGGGGCGCCAAGUUCGUCCAGCGGAAAAAGGCCACAAAAAAGGGUGGGCUAUAGCCUUGGGGGGUGGGGCUGGCCAAAUUCGUCAGCCGGACUCGGAAUGGGGUGAGACUUUGCGAGCGGCCUCCGUGUGCCAAAAAUAGGCUGCGGGCACAGCCACGCCCAAAACUAUCCUCCUGAAGGCCGGGGCGCCAUGCUCGUCCAGCGGAAAAAGGCCACAAAAACGGGUGGGCUAUAGUGUUGGGGUUGGGGCUGGCCAAGUUCGUCCGCCGGACUCGGAAUCAGACGAGAUUUACGAGCGGCCUCCGUGUGCCGAACAUAGGUCAUGGGCACAGCCGCGCCCAAAAAUAACCACCCGAAGGCCGGGGCGCCAAGUUCAUCCAGCGGAAAAACGCCACAAAAUCGGGUGGGCUAUAGCCUUGGGGGGUGGGGCUGGCCAAGCUCGUAAGCCGGACUCGGAAUGGGAUGAGACUUUGGGAGCGGCCUCCGUGUGCCAAAACUAGGCCGCUGGCACAGCCGCCCCGAAAAAAUAACCGCCCGAAAGACGGGGUGCCGAGUUCGUCCAGCGGAAAAAGGCCACAAAAACGGGUGGGCUAUAUCCUUGGGGGGUGGUGCUGGCCAAGUUAGUCCGCCGGACUCGGAAUGGGGCGAGACUUUGCGAGCGGCCUCCGUGUGCCAUAAAUAGGCCGCGGACAUAGCCGCACCCAAAAAUAACCGCCCAAAGGCCGAGGGGCCAAGUUCGUCCCUCGGAAAAGGGCCACAAAAACGGGUGGGCUAUAGCCUUCGGGGGUGGGGCUGGCCAAGUUCGUCCGCCGGACUCGGAAUGGGACGAGACUUUACGAGCGGCCUCUGUGUGCUAAAAAUAGGCCGCUGCCGCCCGAAGGCCGGGGCGCCGAGUUCGUCCAGCGGAAAAAGGCCACAAAAACGGGUGGGCAAUAGCCUUGGGGAGGGGGGGCUGGCCAAGUUCGUCCGCCGGACUGGGAAUGGGGCGAGACUUUACGAGCGGCCUCCGUGUGCCAAAAAUAGGCCGCAGGCACAGCCGUACCCAAAAGUAACCGCCCGAAGGCCGGGGCGCCAAGUUCAUCCAGAGGAAAAAGGCCACAAAAAUUGGCGGGCUAUAGCCUUGGGGGGUGGGGCCGGCCAAGUUCGUCCGGCGGACUCGGAAUGGGACGAGACUUUGCGAGCGGCGUCCGUGUGCCAAAAAUAGGCCGAAGGCACAGCCGCGCCCAAAAAUAACCGCCUGAAGGCCGGGUCGCCAAGUUUGUCCGGCGGAAAAAGGCCACAAAAACGGGUGGGCUAUAGCCUUGGGGGGUGGGGCUGGCCAAGUUCGUCCGCCGUACUCGGAAUGGGACAAGACUUUCCGAACGGGCUCCGUGUGCCAAAAAUAGGCCGCGGGCAUAGCCACUCCCAAAAAUAGCCGCCCGAAGGCCGGAUCGGCAAGUUCGUCCCGCGGAAAAAGGCCACAAGAACGGGUGGGCUAUAGACUUGGGGGGUGGGUCUGGCCUAGUUCGUCCGCCGGACUCGGAAUGGGACGAGACAUUGUGAGUGGCUCCUUGUGACAAAAAUAGGCCGCGGGCACAGCCGCGCCCAAAAAUAACUGCCCGAAGGCCGGGGCGCCAAGUUCGUCCAGCGGAAAGAGGCCACAAAAACGGGUGGGCUAUAGCCUUGGGGGGUUGGGCAGGCCUAGUUUGUCCGCCGGACUCGGAAUGGGACGAGACUUUGCGAGAGGCCUCCGUUUGCCAAAAAUAGGCCGCGGGCACAGCCGCGCCCAAAAAUAACCGCCCGAAGGCCGGGGCGCCAAGUUCGUCCAGCGGAAAAAGGCCACAAAAACGGGUGGGCUAUAUCCUUGGGGGGUGGGGCUGCCAAAAUUCGUCCGCCGGACUCGGAAUGGGGCGAGACUUUGUUAGUGGCCUCCGUGUACCAAAAAUAGGCCGCGGGCACAGCCGCUCCCAAAAAUAAUUGCCCGAAGGCCGGGGCGCCCAGUUCGUCCUGCGGAAAAAGAACACAAAAACGGGUGGGCUAUAGCCUUGGGGGGUGGGGCUCGCCAAGUUCGUCCGCCGGACUCGGAAUGGGACGAGACUUUGUUAGCGGCCUCCGUAUGCCAAAAAUAGUCCGCGGACACAGCCGUGGCCAAAAAUAACAGCCCGACGUCCGGCGGAAAAAGGCCACAAAAACGGGUGGGCUAUAGCCUUGGGGGGUGGGGCUGGCCUAGUUCGUCCGCCGGACUCGGAAUGGGACGAGAUUUUGCGAGUGGCCUCCGUGUGCCAAAAAUAGUCCGCGGGCAUAGCCGCACCAAAAAAUAACCGCCCAAAGGCCGGGGUUCCAAGUUCGUCCAACGGAAAAAGUCCACAAAAACGGGUGGGCUAUAGUCUUGGGGGGUGGGGCUGGCCAAGUUCCUCCGCCGCACUCGGAAUGGGACAAGACUUUCCGAGUGGCCUCCGUGUACAAAAAAUAGGCCGCGGUCACCGCCGCUCCCAAAAAUAACCGCCCGAAGGCCGGAGCGGCAAGUUCGUCCUGCGGAAAAAGGCCACAAGAACGGGUGGGCUAUAGACUUGGGGGGUGAGUCUGGCCUAGUUCGUCCGCCGGACUCGGAAUGGGAUGAGAUUUUGCGAGCGGCCUCCGUGUGCCAAAUCUAGGCCGCAGGCACAGCCGUGCCCAAAAUUAACCGCCCGCAGGCCGGGGCACUAAGUUCGUCCAGCGGAAAAAGGCCACAAAAACGGGUGGGCUAUAGCCUUGGGGGGUUGGGCUGGCCUAGUUUGUCCGCCGGACUCGGAAUGGGACGAGACUUUGUGAGAGGCCUCCGUUUGUCAAAAAUAGGCCGCGGGCACAGCCGCCGCCAAAAAUAACCGCCCGAAGGCCGGGGCGCCAAGUUCGUCCAGCGGUAAGAGGCCACAAAAACGGGUGGGCUAUAGCCUUGGGGGGUUGGGCUGGCCUAGUUUGUCCGCCGGAGUCGGAAUGGGACGAGACUUUGUGAGAGGCCUCCGUUUGCCAAAAAUAGGCCGCGGACACAGCUGCCGCCAAAAAUAACCGCCCGAAGGCCGGGGCGCCAAGUUCGUCCAGCGGUAAGAGGCCACAAAAACGGGUGGGCUAUAGCCUUGGGGGGUUGGGCUGGCCUAGUUUGUCCGCCGGACUCGGAAUGGGACGAGACUUUGUGAGAGGCCUCCGUUUGCCAAAAAUAGGCCGCGGGCACAGCCGCCGCCAAAAAUAACCGCCCGAAGGCCGGGGCGCCAAGUUCGUCCAGCGGUAAGAGGCCACAAAAACGGGUGGGCUAUAGCCUUGGGGGGUUGGGCUGGCCUAGUUUGUCCGCCGGAGUCGGAAUGGGACGAGACUUUGUGAGAGGCCUCCGUUUGCCAAAAAUAGGCCGCGGGCACAGCCGCCGCCAAAAAUAACCGCCCGAAGGCCGGGGCGCCAAGUUCGUCCAGCGGUAAGAGGCCACAAAAACGGGUGGGCUAUAGCCUUGGGGGUUUGGGCUGGCCUAGUUUGUCCGCCGGACUCGGAAUGGGACGAGACUUUGCGAGCACCCUCCGUGUGCCAAAAAUAGGCCGCGGGCACAGCCGCGCCCAAAAAUAACUGCCCGAAGGCCAGGACGCCAAGUUCGUCCGGCGGAAAAAGGCCACAAAAACGGGUGGGCUGUAGCCUUGGGGGGUGGGGCUCGCCAAGUUCGUCCGCCGGACUCGGAAUGGGACGAGACUUUGUUAGCGGCCUCCGUAUGCCAAAAAUAGUCCGCGGACACAGCCGUGGCCAAAAAUAACAGCCCGACGUCCGGCGGAAAAAGGCCACAAAAACGGGUGGGCUAUAGCCUUGGGGGGUGGGGCUGGCCUAGUUCGUCCGCCGGACUCGGAAUGGGACGAGAUUUUGCGAGUGGCCUCCGUGUGCCCAAAAUAGGCCGCGGGCAUAGCCGAGCCAAAAAAUAACCGCCCGAAUGCCGGGGUUCAAAGUUCGUCCAACGGAAAAAGGCCACAAAAAUGGGUGGGCUAUAGCCUUGGGGGGUGGGGCUGGCCAAGUCCGUCCGGCGGACUCGGAAUUGGGCGAGACUUUGCGAGCACCCUCCGUGUGCCAAAAAUAGGCCGCGGGCACAGCCGCGCCCAAAAAUAACUGCCCGAAGGCCAGGACGCCAAGUUCGUCCGGCGGAAAAAGGCCACAAAAACGGGUGGGCUGUAGCCUUGGGGGGUGGGGCUCGCCAAGUUCGUCCGCCGGACUCGGAAUGGGACGAGACUUUGUUAGCGGCCUCCGUAUGCCAAAAAUAGUCCGCGGACACAGCCGUGGCCAAAAAUAACAGCCCGACGUCCGGCGGAAAAAGGCCACAAAAACGGGUGGGCUAUAGCCUUGGGGGGUGGGGCUGGCCUAGUUCGUCCGCCGGACUCGGAAUGGGACGAGAUUUUGCGAGUGGCCUCCGUGUGCCCAAAAUAGGCCGCGGGCAUAGCCGAGCCAAAAAAUAACCGCCCGAAUGCCGGGGUUCAAAGUUCGUCCAACGGAAAAAGGCCACAAAAAUGGGUGGGCUAUAGCCUUGGGGGGUGGGGCAGGCCAAGUUCGUCCGCCGGACUCGGAAUGGGACGAGACUUUCCGAGCGGCCACCUUGUGCCAAAAAUAGGCCACGGGCAAAGCCGCCCCAAAAAAUAACCGCCCGAUGCCGAGGCGCCAUGUUCGUCCCGGCGGAAAAAUGCCUCAAAAACGGGUGGGCUAUAGCCUUGGGGAGUGGGGCUGGCCAAGUUCGACCGCCGGACUCAGAAUGGUUCAAACUUUGCGAGCGGCCUCCGUGUGCCAAAAAUAGGACACAGGUACAGCCGCGCCCAAAAAUAACCGCCCGAAGGCCGGGGCACCAAGUUCGUCCAGCGGAAAAAGGACACAAAAACGGGUGGGCUAUAGCCUUGGGGGGUGGGGCUGGCCAAGUUCGUCCGCCGGACUCGGAAUGGGACGAGACUUUGCGAGUGGUCACCGUGUGUAAAAAAUAGGAGACGGGCACAGCCGCGCUCAAAAAUACGGGCCCGAAGGCCGGGGCGCCAAGUUCGUCCAGCGGAAAAAGGCCACAAAAACGGGUGGGCUAUAGCCUUGGGGGGUGGGGCGGGCCAACUUCGUCCGCCAGACUCGGAAUGGGGCGAGACUUUGCGAGCGGCCUCCGUUUACCAAAAAUAGGCCGCGGGCACAGCCGCGCCCAAAAAUAACCGCCCGAAGGCCGGGGCGCCAACUUCGUCCAGCCGACAAAGGCCACAAAAACGGGUGGGAUAUAGCCUUGGGGGGUGGGGCUGGCCAAGUUCGCCCAGCGGAAACAGGCCACAAAAACGGGUGGGCUAUAGCCUAGGGGGGUGGGGCUGGGCAAGUUCGUCCGCCGGAAUCGGAAUGGGACGAGACUUUGCGAGCGGCCUCCGUGUGCCAAAAAUAGACCGCGGGCACAGCCGCGCCCAAUAAUAACCGCCUGAAGGCCUGGGCGCCAAGUUCAUCCAGCGGAAAAAGGCCACAAAAACGGGUGGGCUAUAGCCUUGGGGGGUGGGGCUGGCCAAGUUCGUCUGCCGGACUCGGAAUGGGAUGAGAUUUUGCGAGCGG